GCGGGCGUGGUGGAAUUGGCAGACACGCCAGACUUAGGAUCUGGAGCUUUACCGCGUGGAGGUUCGAGUCCUCUCGCCCGCA
Molecule: transfer RNA, 82 nt
Filed under: Planctomycetaceae bacterium
Lineage: Bacteria; Pseudomonadati; Planctomycetota; Planctomycetia; Planctomycetales; Planctomycetaceae
Description: tRNA-Leu
Rfam family: tRNA
About the family: Transfer RNA (tRNA) molecules are approximately 80 nucleotides in length. Their secondary structure includes four short double-helical elements and three loops (D, anti-codon, and T loops).
Source: RNAcentral